This 253-nucleotide ribosomal RNA is filed under the name uncultured bacterium. RNAcentral's name for it is "partial 16S ribosomal RNA". It matches the Rfam family "Bacterial small subunit ribosomal RNA", at positions 524 to 776 of the family's 1533-position model. The record is from RNAcentral.
UACGUAGGGUGCAAGCGUUGUCCGGAAUUAUUGGGCGUAAAGAGCUUGUAGGCGGUUUGUCGCGUCUGCUGUGAAAUUUCGGGGCUCAACCCCGAACUUGCAGUGGGUACGGGCAGACUAGAGUGUGGUAGGGGCGACUGGAAUUCCUGGUGUAGCGGUGAAAUGCGCAGAUAUCAGGAGGAACACCGAUGGCGAAGGCAGGUCUCUGGGCCACUACUGACGCUGAGAAGCGAAAGCAUGGGGAGCGAACAGG